AUUACUUCUUUGCCUUUAGCUGGUCAGUUCUGUUCUACCUUAUUCAUCUAGCUCACAAAGAGGCAAUAGAAUAAAGACAAUCAUCAUCAACACAUGACAGAAACAAGAGCUAACAGUAACUACAAGAUAGAUAAAUAUGUUAAUGAAAGCAGGGUACAUAGAAUCUUUUAACCCAGGGAAGAUAUGAUUCUAUUGAUUAAGUGAGAAGCUUUUUACAACCAG
This 222-nucleotide unclassified non-coding RNA is filed under the name Hevea brasiliensis (rubber tree). The record is from RNAcentral. Lineage: Eukaryota; Viridiplantae; Streptophyta; Magnoliopsida; Malpighiales; Euphorbiaceae.